AUGGAGUUCACGGGGCCGGAGCACGCCGCCGGGACGCCGCCCGGCACGCGCGCGCCCUCCGACGCCUCCUCGGGGAACAGCGGGGCGGCCGGGAGCUGGGAGGCGAGGUACCGCGAGUGCCUGCGCAACCACGCGGCCGCGCAGGGCGGGCACGCCGUGGAUGGGUGCGGGGAGUUCAUGCCCUCCGGCGCCCACGACCUCCUCAGGUGCGCCGCCUGCGGGUGCCACCGCAGCUUCCACCGCAGGGACGACGGGCAGCAGCACCCCCGCCUCUUCCUCCCCGCGCCCGCCGCCACGCCGACGACGGCUCCGCGCGUGCCGCUGCUCAUGCCGCCUCCGCAGCACCACCACCCCUACGCGGCCGGCCACCCGCUCGCGCCGCCGUUCGCGUACAACCCCCACCACCACCAAUACCAACGCACACCCAGCGGCGGUGGCACGACGACCGAGUCGUCCAGCGAGGAGCCCGGCCCGGGCCCGCCCUCGACGUCGGCUCCAGGGCAGGGGCACGGGCAGGCGCGGCGGCCGAAGCGGUUCCGGACGAGGUUCACGGCAGAGCAGAGGGGGCAGAUGCUGGCGCUGGCGGAGCGGGUGGGGUGGCGGAUGCUGAAACAAGACGAGGCCCUGGUGGAGCAGCUCUGCGCGCAGGCUGGCGUCCGGCGGCAGGUCUUCAAGGUCUGGAUGCACAACAACAAGCACCACAGGAGGCAGCCGCAGCCGCCACAGUCCCAACAGCAGCAACAACAACGGUAG
RNAcentral lists this ribosomal RNA (753 nucleotides) under Triticum aestivum (bread wheat). RNAcentral describes it as "partial small subunit ribosomal RNA". The record is from RNAcentral. Lineage: Eukaryota; Viridiplantae; Streptophyta; Magnoliopsida; Poales; Poaceae.